GCGGUUGUGGGGAGCGAAGGACACGUUGAAUGUUCACGAUUUCCUUUCAUAUAAAUUUACUCUCUCUUUCUCCUUAGUCACCUUCUACUAGCAUGACCAGCUGUCCUUCCCCUGGAAACACAACGAGUUUGAAUCUGGCUGUCAUCCAUGAGCCGUAACAGCCGGGGCUGUGAACACAUUGCAGUGCCCGAGGGCAGUAGCGUGGACAACCUGUGCUCUCCUCACAUGAGUGAGCGGCGAGCGGUCCAGGGAUCCGAGCUGGCACGCUCAGCCAAACAGGUGUAUGAUGGGAAGACGCAGGCUGUGAAGGGUGAAUUUUCUUACGUGGAGGAUCCUUAUGCGGUGUUCAUUGCAUCCUACGCACUGAGCGGGAAAGAAGUUCAAUGCACCUGGAAAAAUUUGACAAGACCUGACAGUACUUGUUGUGCAGAUUAGGAGUUUCAGAUGAAACCCUGUGAAGCCGAUUGGAACGUACACUGAGAUGAUGUAGUAUACAGAUCAUUAGAAGAAGAAAACAGUUUUGAUGUUGAAGAGCCUGACAAGGGCCAACAGGACAUCUCUACCUGCUGACGUCACGUCAAACUCCCGCUGUCCUUCAGUGUUGUUGGCCUCAGCGGCUCAGUAGAAAAACACCGGGAGCAAAAGGUUACCUUCUCCACAGAAACAUGUAAACAGACUGAAAGGUCAUCAAACAGAGCCCCGUGCCGCAGCGCCCAUCUCUAGCAGAGGAGGAAUUUAAAAAAGAAAGGUUGUGAGGAAAAGUGGCUGGCCCUUUCAAAAGCACAGAACAGGACAAGAAGGUUUUUAGACCCAGUCCUUAUUCAUCUUCUCACUGAAAAGAGGGACCUGAACAUUCUUCCAGAAUUCACCUUUUGUGUUCUGCAGAAGCAAGUCUUACAGAUUCAGAAUGAAGGGAAAGCCCCUUAGAUAAAGUCCAUCAUGGAGAUGGCUUCUGACAAAUAUGUCGAGUGUGGCGAAGACAUGACAGCUGUCAGUCAAGGUCCAGGCACUGGGAGGUCUUAAUUGCUGCUGUACUGUGCAUCCCAAGCACCCCCUGCAUUCUUACCAUGGAUUGCUGUCAUUCAAGAAGUUAUCAUUUCCUCCCCCAUUGUGGCUGAGCUACACAUUCUCUGCGUUUUAUUUUAAACAGAAAACAUCCAGAGGAGAUGGCACCUAUGCUGGAAUCCAUACAAAUGUCCGGCCUCCAUGUGUUUGCAGGGAUAUCCCAUGCCUAGCGUCGCCCACGGGGUGAGGGCGGGGAGAUGGGUGGCUGACGCAGGCCGCAGCGGCUGUGCUACCUAUCUUCCUUUUGAAGCAAAGCGGAGCUGACAGAGGCCACCUCAGGAGACGGCUCACUCUCCAUCACAGUGCUGAGAGGAAGAGGCAGGGUCUGUCAGGGGUCCUCUAGCACUGCAGAGAGCUACGUACCCCCAUCCUGCUGCUGUCUCCACUGCACCCAGUCACUUCACGCACCAUCCAUACAAUGAGGAAACGUACAGGCAGUGAAUGUGAAUGUCGCUCCCAUCUGGAGCUCGCGAGCCUUUUGUAGAUGCACAUCAAGCAGUCGAAAUGUGACAGGACUUAUAAUGGACUCAGAGCGGCAGAAUGCCUCCGAAAGCGGCCCACAACGGUGUCUCCGAAUUACCUUGCCUCGCCGAAGAUGACGAUUAGAUUCACCGAGGACACUGCAGGUGCUUUCUACCGGUGGCGUUUCCUUAUUAGUCAGAUGUCACUCAAGCCUGUUUACGAUGCCAGGUAGCUGCUUUUGAUUUGCUCUGACACAAAACGGCAUUAUAACAUCUCACGAGUCUCCACACACGCAUGAAUACACAAUUACGUGCAAGCACACACACAUAUAGACUCAUCUUUCACACUGUAACUCCAUCCCUCAAUUCCACACAGAGCUGGACCAAUUAUUUUCUGCUGUACCAGCAUUUCCAA
This is a long non-coding RNA of Onychostoma macrolepis, 1941 nucleotides long. RefSeq lists it as uncharacterized. The record is from RefSeq and is a predicted model, not a curated record. NCBI's taxonomy places the organism in Eukaryota, Metazoa, Chordata, Actinopteri, Cypriniformes, Cyprinidae. The transcript has 12 exons.